This is a non-coding RNA of Labrus bergylta (ballan wrasse), 1599 nucleotides long. NCBI's taxonomy places the organism in Eukaryota, Metazoa, Chordata, Actinopteri, Labriformes, Labridae. The record is from RefSeq and is a predicted model, not a curated record.
UGGGCAGGUCGCACAUCACAACGCUGUCCUGUGCCAUCAGGUCGCCGGUGGCCCGAUGACCCGGCAGACUGGCGUGUAGGUGAGCUGACCCAGCCUUGUGUUUCCCUGUCGUGAGAACCAGUCUCUUCUGUCACUGUCAUCUCUUGACCUCCCUGUCACAUUUCAGGGUGUCCCUGAACAUGACUGACUGCUGCUCCUGUCACUCCACUCACAGGAUUAAAUCAUGACCCUGUGUGCUCGUCGUCGUCUUUCCCUCCUCCUCCUCUCUCUGCUCUGAAAAGUCUGAUCUUCUCUCCUCUGCACCGUCUGUUCCCUCCUCUCUUCCCUCCAUCCCCUCUUUCCGCUUCAAAGAACUUGAAAGCAUCGGUUAGUCUGUGAGGCUCUGCUGUGAUCUCUGCUCUGAAACAGAGGAGUAACACACCAACCACGUCUGAUUAACAGGGCCUCCCUGGAGAGCCAGACGUGGUUCUGCUGGACGGUCUUCCAGGAGAAGAGGACGAGCAGAAGCAGUGUGGAGACGCUGAGGACCGUCGUGCCCCAACGACCGACCACCGAGCACAGCCGGCCCAGACCGUGAGCCACCAGGAUACAGUAGCCCAUACUGCAGGGAGAGGAGAUAGAAGAAAACAGGCAGAGAGAGCCUUGAUCAUCCAACCAGAGGAUUCUUCAUUCAGGAGGACGUUCCACAUCUAUUCUUGUUACACUACAGCUUGUUGACCCAGAGAGAUGAACUCGGUACAAUUUGAGUAAAAGCCUCGAUAGAAAAAUGGAUGCUUUGUUGAAACUCCUACAUGCAGCAGAGAUGAGCCUGAACGAGAGGUGACGAGUCAAGGCAAACAAGAGCAAAUCACUGAGAGGAGAACGAUUCAGAGAGAAAGACGGGGAAUAAAUAAAGUGUCAAAAAACAGCGCGGACAAAAAAAAACAACACAUUUGGCAAAAACACUGCGGAUAUCCUGUUCACGUUCUGUAAACCUUUUACUCCACGUUCAACAGCGUGAACAAGAGCUGGAACAUAUCAACACUGACAGGACAGAUUGUACAGCUGUGUGUGUGUGUGUGUGCAUGUGUGUGUGUGAAUUCAGCCUUCAAACCAAACAGUGUGUGAUUUAACACUGCAGAAAAUGAGAUUAUCCUACACUGAUUCUGUAUGAAAAACAUCCCAAUCAGUUUGUAGACAAAUGCCCCUGACGCACAUUACCGUCCUACACACACACAAACACACACACACGCAGGAGGAGGAAACUAUCUCAGCAAUAUUCCUUUUUCUUACUAUCACAUGCGAUUAUGUUUUAUGUCUCGUGCUAUCUUUAUGCCCUUAUCUGGUUCAGUCUAAGAUUUUUAAUAACUUCUCAUUAUUCUCUUUGCCAAAACUGCUCACAGUGAGAACCCAGCAGCGACCUCCGGUGUUGAAAAAUAAAGCCCGAUGCAAAAGUGCAAACUCCUGCAGUUCCUCGAGUGUCCACUAGAAGGCUGUCUACAGAAGUCACAUUCACACCCACGAGUCACUACCGAGGCAAGCAAAAGUGACAUUCCCUAGCAGCAAUGAGCGCCGUGAGAAGCGUUCUGAAACUGAUCGGUCUAGAGCAGUGGUUCUCAA